Molecule: ribosomal RNA, 424 nt
Filed under: uncultured bacterium
Lineage: Bacteria
Description: bacterial SSU rRNA
Rfam family: Bacterial small subunit ribosomal RNA
Source: RNAcentral
UGAGGAAUAUUGGACAAUGGGCGCAAGCCUGAUCCAGCCAUGCCGCGUGCAGGAUGACGGUCCUAUGGAUUGUAAACUGCUUUUAUAUGGGAAGAAACCCUGGCUCGUGAGCCAGAUUGACGGUACCGUAGGAAUAAGGAUCGGCUAACUCCGUGCCAGCAGCCGCGGUAAUACGGAGGAUCCAAGCGUUAUCCGGAAUCAUUGGGUUUAAAGGGUCCGUAGGCGGUUUUAUAAGUCAGUGGUGAAAUCCGGUAGCUCAACUAUCGAACUGCCAUUGAUACUGUAAGACUUGAAUUAUUGUGAAGUAACUAGAAUAUGUAGUGUAGCGGUGAAAUGCUUAGAUAUUACAUGGAAUACCAAUUGCGAAGGCAGGUUACUAACAAUACAUUGACGCUGAUGGACGAAAGCGUGGGGAGCGAACAGG